This 1185-nucleotide ribosomal RNA is filed under the name Pseudomonas sp. Its description in RNAcentral is "bacterial SSU rRNA". It matches the Rfam family "Bacterial small subunit ribosomal RNA", at positions 36 to 1226 of the family's 1533-position model. Lineage: Bacteria; Pseudomonadati; Pseudomonadota; Gammaproteobacteria; Pseudomonadales; Pseudomonadaceae. The record is from RNAcentral.
CUACUUGGGUGCGCAGCUACCAUGCAGUCGAGCGGUAGAGAGAAGCUUGCUUCUCUUGAGAGCGGCGGACGGGUGAGUAAUGCCUAGGAAUCUGCCUGGUAGUGGGGGAUAACGUUCGGAAACGGACGCUAAUACCGCAUACGUCCUACGGGAGAAAGCAGGGGACCUUCGGGCCUUGCGCUAUCAGAUGAGCCUAGGUCGGAUUAGCUAGUUGGUGAGGUAAUGGCUCACCAAGGCGACGAUCCGUAACUGGUCUGAGAGGAUGAUCAGUCACACUGGAACUGAGACACGGUCCAGACUCCUACGGGAGGCAGCAGUGGGGAAUAUUGGACAAUGGGCGAAAGCCUGAUCCAGCCAUGCCGCGUGUGUGAAGAAGGUCUUCGGAUUGUAAAGCACUUUAAGUUGGGAGGAAGGGCAGUUACCUAAUACGUGAUUGUUUUGACGUUACCGACAGAAUAAGCACCGGCUAACUCUGUGCCAGCAGCCGCGGUAAUACAGAGGGUGCAAGCGUUAAUCGGAAUUACUGGGCGUAAAGCGCGCGUAGGUGGUUAGUUAAGUUGGAUGUGAAAUCCCCGGGCUCAACCUGGGAACUGCAUUCAAAACUGACUGACUAGAGUAUGGUAGAGGGUGGUGGAAUUUCCUGUGUAGCGGUGAAAUGCGUAGAUAUAGGAAGGAACACCAGUGGCGAAGGCGACCACCUGGACUGAUACUGACACUGAGGUGCGAAAGCGUGGGGAGCAAACAGGAUUAGAUACCCUGGUAGUCCACGCCGUAAACGAUGUCAACUAGCCGUUGGGAGCCUUGAGCUCUUAGUGGCGCAGCUAACGCAUUAAGUUGACCGCCUGGGGAGUACGGCCGCAAGGUUAAAACUCAAAUGAAUUGACGGGGGCCCGCACAAGCGGUGGAGCAUGUGGUUUAAAUUCGAAGCAACGCGAAGAACCUUACCGGCCUUGACAUCCAAUGAACUUUCUAGAGAUAGAUUGGUGCCUUCGGGAACAUUGAGACAGUGCUGCAUGGCUGUCGUCAGCUCGUGUCGUGAGAAUGUUGGGUUAAGUCCCGUAACGGAGCGCACCCUGUCCUAGUACCAGCACGUAUGGUGGGCACUCUAGGAGACUGCGUGACAACCGGAGAGUGGGAUGACGUCAGUCAUCAUGGGCCCUUACGGCUGGACUACACCACGGUGCA